Small nuclear RNA from Manis pentadactyla (Chinese pangolin), 107 nucleotides. NCBI's taxonomy places the organism in Eukaryota, Metazoa, Chordata, Mammalia, Pholidota, Manidae. The record is from RefSeq and is a predicted model, not a curated record.
GUGCUCAUUUUGGCAUUACAUAUACUAAAAUUGGAAAGAUACAGAGAAUAUUCGCAUGGCCUCUGCGCAAGGAUGACACACAAAUUUGUGAAGAAUUCCAUAUUUUG